Non-coding RNA from Phoenix dactylifera (date palm), 2693 nucleotides. NCBI's taxonomy places the organism in Eukaryota, Viridiplantae, Streptophyta, Magnoliopsida, Arecales, Arecaceae. The record is from RefSeq and is a predicted model, not a curated record.
AGUUGUCUUGCUCGCAGGCUUCUACAACGGUCCGGAAGGGAACCGGGGAAGCCAUGCCAGAAAUAGAAAGGGGAAAAAGGGGGGAAAAUAAUAAUAAAAAAAAGCAGUGGUGUUUCCUUCCAUGAUCUCUCUUAAUUCGAUUUUUCUUCAUCCAAUCCUUUCUAAGUUCGAUAUCUUUUUCAUCAUUUAGCAAUCGUUUCUUACUUCGCUCGGUCUUAUCAAUACCAAGAAUCCGACCCUAUGGAGGCAAAUGCCGCUCUCUUUUGUCGGUUGGAUCGGUACUAUCUCUUUAAAUCGCUUUAGGGUUUCUUGGCAAGCAAUUCAUGUGGAUAUUUCUUUUUUCCUUUUUUUUUUAUUUGCAAAUUGCACAAUUUGAUCUCUAUUUUUUUGUGUAAAUAAUUACUAUUAUUACAAGAUGCUUUUGCCCAUGGUUGUGGUUUACGAUCUGAAAAAGAUUCCUAUUGUCAUGACGGGUUUCCAUUUUGGUGUUCUUUUGAAAAAGAUAGAGUUGAAUCGAUAAGAUGUUGUGUGUUUUAGCGUGUCAUUUUUGGUGGGAGCAAACGUUGUGAUGAUUUUGGGUUUUGGUGAAUGUUGAGAGUCUUCUGUUUGAUGUAAUGCCUUGCUGUCUAAAGGUCGACAGUGGUUUUUAGGGUAAGCCGAGAAAGAGACCAGCUGGUGGAUUCUUUUCUUUUUUCUUUGGUUGAUAUCUUUGGUAUUUGUGUGCACAUGUUCAUGAUGUGAAUGUUCUUUGAUAAGCUGAUCCUGAGAUGCGAUGCAUGAUUCUUCAUUAAUUCUUUUUUUUUUUUUUGGGAUGAUUCUUCCUCCUAUAAAGUAUUGUCAUCAUGGGGUUUGCACUUUGUAUUAAGUUAUUAGAGAAGCUCAAAUUGUGCUAUGAAAGCGCUCUUGGCGAAAAGUGGGUUCUUUUUCUUUAUUUCUGGCUAUUUAUUUGUCUCAGGUGUUAUAUUAGUCAAAUAGAACUAUAAGAAUCUUUCUCCAUUAUAACUGUGAUAACUUUCUGUGCUGGGUUUUAGGUUCUUAUUUUAUAACGAUGGAAUAAUUCUACUGUUCUGGGAGGUAAGUAGCAAUAAAUCUAGUGUCACUUGAGGUUACCUUAACAGAAGGCUCAUAUGUUUAGGCAAGUGUAAUAAUUACUAUAGAAAACACAUUUGAUACUGGUCGAGUCGGUAACUUUCAUAUUUUUGACUAUCAUAUUGUCUGCUAGGUAAUUAUUUAUGUUGUUAAAGCUUAAUCAGAGCGUGCUUACGGAUAUGAAAGUAAUCAAGGAUUCCUUUUCUUUUUCACUCCUUCGUGGAGCUCCACUUUUUAUUUGGUAAUGUGGAAGCUUCUUGUUUGAUUUGUGGAAUGUUUUUUCAUUGUUGACAGCGUGAUAUGACUGCAUCCAAUUGUCAUGGAUAUAAAAUUGUGCACCUUCAUAUUAAUCUCUGCCUGGUCUUGGGAACCCUGAAAGACUUGGUUUACUGCUCAAAAUGUGACAUUAAGCUGUAUCAAGUUUGAGAAUUCCAAGCUGCAAUUCUUAUAUUGAGAAUAUAAAAAUAUGGCUGCCAUUUUCUUCGCAGCAUCUAUAUUUGCACUUUCCAGUUUCAUCUUUCCCACAAGUUCCAGGGGGCAAAGGAAUUUUUUCUGUAGUUUUUUCUUCAUCUGGGGGACACAUUUAGCCUCACGGUUCAUUUGUUUCCUGUACAGUAAUUGAAAUUUCAGCAUAUAUCCAUUGUUGAUGCUGUUUGAUUUAUAUCUGAACGUAAUAUAAUGGCUGUAACAAAUUUAGGAAUUAUAGAUUACUCAGAUCAUUUUCUGGGUACUAAAUAAUGCAGAGCUGGCUGCUGCUGCGGUAUCUGCAGGAUCAGCAAUAGCUGCUCAAGUAGGGGCAGGUGCUCUUGGUGCUCUGGAGUUCGAGCAGUUGCGCUCGGUGCAACUGGUACAAUUGCAGUUGCUGCGCUGUUGCUGCAAUUGGUGCUACAGUGGCUGGAGGAUUGGCAGCAGAAAGUGGAAUAGCAGAAGAUGGUCCAACUCCAGCUGAUAAUAUGGGGAAGGAUUCCUACAAAAACCUCCUUCAAGAAGAGCCUUUCAAGUCAACAAUGGCCCGCUUUCAGAUUUUGUGCUUCCUUCUAUCUCAUAUAAAGAGGCAUCUAACAGUAAUGGAUUGCAUAAAGACCAAAGUUCAGUUGAUAUGGACUCAGCGAGAACAUUAGUGGCACCAGUAACAUGUGCACGUGUUGCUUCCCUUGGAAGUGUGAUAGAGUUUGGCAUCAAGAUCAGUUCACCGGGCUUACGUAGUUAAGGGUGAUGACCUGGAAGUUAUUGGUGUUGUGACACUGAAGGAUGUAGUCUCUUGCUUCGUCUAUGACCCCUUGAUCACUUUGACAGCUAUUUUGGGUUUGAUAUGAAGGAGAUGAUCAACCAGUUAGAUUUGCAUAUGUAGUAGAGUCAAAGCAAUGGUAUUGCAGCUGAAGACAGCAAAAGACAAUGUCCAAUUGCCAAUUAGUUUUAUGGUUAUGUUUUCCUUUUUUUUCUUCUUUUUAAUAUAUGUACUUGGAAGGCGGUACCUUCUGGAGUAUGAAUCUGUUAUGGAUAGUCUUCAUGUAAGGCAGCUCAGAGGUCCAUAAAAUGCAUUGUUCAACCAACUGAAAAAAAUCAAGGAAUUCAUAUAAACUUCCUGUUAAAUUAGUCAGAAA